RNAcentral lists this ribosomal RNA (484 nucleotides) under uncultured bacterium. RNAcentral describes it as "partial 16S ribosomal RNA". It matches the Rfam family "Bacterial small subunit ribosomal RNA", at positions 28 to 523 of the family's 1533-position model. The record is from RNAcentral.
GACGAACGCUGGCGGCGUGCUUAACACAUGCAAGUCGAACGAUGAAGCUGGAGCUUGCUCCGGUGGAUUAGUGGCGAACGGGUGAGUAACACGUGAGUAAUCUGCCCUUGACUCUGGGAUAACUGCGGGAAACUGUAGCUAAUACCGGAUACGACACCUUCGGGCAUCCGAUGGGUGUGGAAAGAAUUUCGGUCAAGGAUGAACUCGCGGCCUAUCAGCUAGUUGGUGAGGUAAUGGCUCACCAAGGCGACGACGGGUAGCCGGCCUGAGAGGGUGACCGGCCACACUGGGACUGAGACACGGCCCAGACUCCUACGGGAGGCAGCAGUGGGGAAUAUUGCACAAUGGGCGAAAGCCUGAUGCAGCAACGCCGCGUGAGGGAUGAAGGCCUUCGGGUUGUAAACCUCUUUUAGUUGGGAAGAAGCGAAAGUGACGGUACCAACAGAAAAAGCACUGGCUAACUACGUGCCAGCCGCCGCGGUAA